GGGCGAGUGGCGGAAUUGGCAGACGCGCUAGGCUCAGGACCUAGUCCUGACUUGUCGGGAUGCGGGUUCAAAUCCCGCCUCGCCCACCA
RNAcentral lists this transfer RNA (89 nucleotides) under Actinomycetes bacterium. RNAcentral describes it as "tRNA-Leu". It matches the Rfam family "tRNA". From Rfam's summary of the family: Transfer RNA (tRNA) molecules are approximately 80 nucleotides in length. Lineage: Bacteria; Bacillati; Actinomycetota; Actinomycetes. The record is from RNAcentral.